RNAcentral lists this ribosomal RNA (460 nucleotides) under uncultured bacterium. RNAcentral describes it as "partial 16S ribosomal RNA". It matches the Rfam family "Bacterial small subunit ribosomal RNA", at positions 338 to 795 of the family's 1533-position model. The record is from RNAcentral.
CCUACGGGUGGCAGCAGUGAGGAAUAUUGGUCAAUGGACGAGAGCCUGAACCAGCCAAGUCGCGUGAAGGAUGACUGUCCUAUGGGUUGUAAACUUCUUUUAUAUGGGAAUAAAAUGCGCCACGUGUGGGAUUUUGUAUGUACCCUAUGAAUAAGGAUCGGCUAACUCCGUGCCAGCAGCCGCGGUAAUACGGAGGAUCCGAGCGUUAUCCGGAUUUAUUGGGUUUAAAGGGGGCGUAGGUGGAUUGUUAAGUCAGGUGUGAAAGUUUGCGGCUCAACCGUAAAAUUGCAGUUGAAACUGGUAGUCUUGAGUACGGUAGAGGUGGGCGGAAUGCGUGGUGUAGCGGUGAAAUGCUUAGAUAUCACGAAGAACUCCGAUUGCGAAGGCAGCUCACUGGACUGCAACUGACACUGAGGCUCGAAAGUGUGGGUAUCAAACAGGAUUGGAUACCCCAGUAGUC